Molecule: long non-coding RNA, 605 nt
Organism: Lagenorhynchus albirostris (white-beaked dolphin)
Lineage: Eukaryota; Metazoa; Chordata; Mammalia; Artiodactyla; Delphinidae
Exons: 3
Source: RefSeq, a predicted model, not a curated record
UGGGGGGAAACACAAACAUUCAGUUCAUAACAGCUGGUGUUUGCCUUUGCUUGGGAGGGUAACCAAGAGGUGGGUACUUCCAGUAAGGGAAGUGACCUGAGUUGCUAAAAGAGCCCAGUUGGAAAGCAGAGGAGUCAGAAGAUGUGCUGGACGCCCCAUUCCAUCCUUUGAAUCCUUGGCCAUUUUGGCCCUAAUGUUCUUCAAGGAAAGAAUGUUACUGUCCAGGACCAGAUGGACAUAGGUACCGAAGCUCCAUGUUACUGGGUUGAGAGACGAAAGCAAGGACUGAACUGAACCCAUUUGAGAGCUCAAAGACUCCUAAAAGGGAAACUCACCAACACAGGUCAAGAAAGAAAGAAUUAUUCUAUUUAUGUCUUCCUUAGCUUAGAAAGAGGGAAAAUGCUAAAGAGAUGGGGCUUUGCUGGUUCGGAUGGGCGCUUCAUGACUUCCAAAGUUAACAGAUCUAGGAGACCAGCAAGACAGUGGACUCGGAAACUAGACUGCCUGGGUUCACAUCAUGACUCUUGUUCACCAGCUGUGUGACUUCCAGCAAGUUCCUUCACCUCUCUGAGAUUUCCUAACCAGAAAAUGGAGAUAAUAACAGU